ACAGGAGAGAGCUUGCUCUCUUGCUGACGAGUGGCGGACGGGUGAGUAAUGCUUGGGAAUCUGCCUAUAGAUGGGGGAUAACCAUUGGAAACGAUGGCUAGUACCGCGUAAUAUCGAGAGAUUAUAGAGUGCAUUUUUGUACUUGUCUAUAGAUGAGCCCAAGUGAGAUUAGCUAGUUGGUGAGGUAAUGGCUCACCAAGGCGACGAUCUCUAGCUGGUUUGAGAGAAUGACCAGCCACACUGGAACUGAGACACGGUCCAGACUUCUACGGAAGGCAGCAGUGGGGAAUAUUGGACAAUGGGGGCAACCCUGAUCCAGCCAUGCCGCGUGUAUGAAGAAGGCCUUAGGGUUGUAAAGUACUUUCGGUAAUGAGGAAGGUAAUUAUUGAAGGAUAGUUGCUUGACGUUAGUUACAGAAGAAGCACCGGCUAACUCCGUGCCAGCAGCCGCGGUAAUACGGAGGGUGCGAGCGUUAAUCGGAAUUACUGGGCGUAAAGGGCACGCAAGCGGAUUGGCAAGUUAGAUGUGAAAGCCCCGAGCUUAACUUGGGAAUUGCAUUUAAAACUACUAAUCUAGAGUUGUUUAGGGAGGGGUAGAAUUUCUCGUGUAACAGUGAA
Molecule: ribosomal RNA, 617 nt
Filed under: uncultured bacterium
Lineage: Bacteria
Description: bacterial SSU rRNA
Rfam family: Bacterial small subunit ribosomal RNA
Source: RNAcentral